GACAUAAGUAACGAUAAAGCGGGUGAAAAGCCCGCUCGCCGGAAGACCAAGGGUUCCUGUCCAACGUUAAUCGGGGCAGGGUGAGUCGACCCCUAAGGCGAGGCCGAAAGGCGUAGUCGAUGGGAAACAGGUUAAUAUUCCUGUACUUGGUGUUACUGCGAAGGGGGGACGGAGAAGGCUAUGUUGGCCGGGCGACGGUUGUCCCGGUUUAAGCGUGUAGGCUGAUUUUCCAGGCAAAUCCGGAAAAUCAAGGCUGAGGCGUGAUGACGAGGCACUACGGUGCUGAAGCAACAAAUGCCCUGCUUCCAGGAAAAGCCUCUAAGCAUCAGGUAACAUCAAAUCGUACCCCAAACCGACACAGGUGGUCAGGUAGAGAAUACCAAGGCGCUUGAGAGAACUCGGGUGAAGGAACUAGGCAAAAUGGUGCCGUAACUUCGGGAGAAGGCACGCUGAUAUGUAGGUGAAGCGACUUGCUCGUGGAGCUGAAAUCAGUCGAAGAUACCAGCUGGCUGCAACUGUUUAUUAAAAACACAGCACUGUGCAAACACGAAAGUGGACGUAUACGGUGUGACGCCUGCCCGGUGCCGGAAGGUUAAUUGAUGGGGUUAGCGGUAACGCGAAGCUCUUGAUCGAAGCCCCGGUAAACGGCGGCCGUAACUAUAACGGUCCUAAGGUAGCGAAAUUCCUUGUCGGGUAAGUUCCGACCUGCACGAAUGGCGUAAUGAUGGCCAGGCUGUCUCCACCCGAGACUCAGUGAAAUUGAACUCGCUGUGAAGAUGCAGUGUACCCGCGGCAAGACGGAAAGACCCCGUGAACCUUUACUAUAGCUUGACACUGAACAUUGAGCCUUGAUGUGUAGGAUAGGUGGGAGGCUUUGAAGUGUGGACGCCAGUCUGCAUGGAGCCGACCUUGAAAUACCACCCUUUAAUGUUUGAUGUUCUAACGUUGGCCCGUUAUCCGGGUUGCGGACAGUGUCUGGUGGGUAGUUUGACUGGGGCGGUCUCCUCCUAAAGAGUAACGGAGGAGCACGAAGGUUGGCUAAUCCUGGUCGGACAUCAGGAGGUUAGUGCAAUGGCAUAAGCCAGCUUGACUGCGAGCGUGACGGCGCGAGCAGGUGCGAAAGCAGGUCAUAGUGAUCCGGUGGUUCUGAAUGGAAGGGCCAUCGCUCAACGGAUAAAAGGUACUCCGGGGAUAACAGGCUGAUACCGCCCAAGAGUUCAUAUCGACGGCGGUGUUUGGCACCUCGAUGUCGGCUCAUCACAUCCUGGGGCUGAAGUAGGUCCCAAGGGUAUGGCUGUUCGCCAUUUAAAGUGGUACGCGAGCUGGGUUUAGAACGUCGUGAGACAGUUCGGUCCCUAUCUGCCGUGGGCGCUGGAGAACUGAGGGGGGCUGCUCCUAGUACGAGAGGACCGGAGUGGACGCAUCACUGGUGUUCGGGUUGUCAUGCCAAUGGCACUGCCCGGUAGCUAAAUGCGGAAGAGAUAAGUGCUGAAAGCAUCUAAGCACGAAACUUGCCCCGAGAUGAGUUCUCCCUGACUCCUUGAGAGUCCUGAAGGAACGUUGAAGACGACGACGUUGAUAGGCCGGGUGUGUAAGCGCAGCGAUGCGUUGAGCUAACCGGUACUAAUGAACCGUGAGGCUUAACCUU
RNAcentral lists this ribosomal RNA (1648 nucleotides) under Escherichia coli. Its description in RNAcentral is "bacterial LSU rRNA". It matches the Rfam family "Bacterial large subunit ribosomal RNA", at positions 1299 to 2925 of the family's 2925-position model. Lineage: Bacteria; Pseudomonadati; Pseudomonadota; Gammaproteobacteria; Enterobacterales; Enterobacteriaceae. The record is from RNAcentral.